Molecule: long non-coding RNA, 600 nt
Filed under: Monodelphis domestica (gray short-tailed opossum)
Lineage: Eukaryota; Metazoa; Chordata; Mammalia; Didelphimorphia; Didelphidae
Description: lncRNA (ENSMODG00000030907.2)
Source: RNAcentral
AUGAGGAUCUCCAUUCCCCACUGUUAUGGUGAAUGGAGCCAGUGCCACAGGGGAAGAGGCAUGAUUAGAGGUCUGACUAUUUCCUUAAAGACUAAAAGAGAAGAGCCCAGGUCUUGUUCUUUGUAUCCAUCACAGCAUCUAAUACAAGAGUCAUCAAAGUGCAGUGGCAAGAUAAAAGUCAAGAUGACUGGCAAUGGCCUGGGAUGCAGUGGAUGACCCUGGCAUCUUUAGUGUCUGACCAAGCUCUAGGCACUGCACAGCACCUGUUUCAGCUGCCUUCAUGGUCAUUGGAAUGAAUUUUUCUCACCUGCCUAAUUCUCCAGAGAUGUCUUCACUUGCUUGGGGUAGACAUCCCCUAACUCACCAAUGGAGCUGAGACCUGUUGGUUAUCCUCAACCUGUUAAGAUGGUUUUACUGGGGUAUGGCCACUCUGCAUGUGGCUUCUUUGAGCCAGCAAUGAGAACUGGGUAAAAGGUAGACAUCGAAGGUGGAUGGAUGGGCAGCCCUGAAAGGGGUUCACACCGAAGAGCUAGUCCUCCCAGAACACUCCCAAAAUGAGUAAGGAAUAAAAACCGAUAGUCCCCAUGCUACCUUGGUAUC